Long non-coding RNA from Acanthochromis polyacanthus (spiny chromis), 4299 nucleotides. RefSeq lists it as uncharacterized. The record is from RefSeq and is a predicted model, not a curated record. NCBI's taxonomy places the organism in Eukaryota, Metazoa, Chordata, Actinopteri, Pomacentridae. The transcript has 5 exons.
AACAGACGAUGCGCAGGGAAAAUAAGCUUAAUGUGGAGCUGAUUAACGUUGUAGACCUGCAUAUUUAAUACUGGCACAACUAUUAUUCAGCAGAUUUCUGUCUGGUGAAACCUGCAGUUUAGUGUCUCACUCUACCGUAGUUCAAAGUGAAAGGCAGCUAGGCUAGCUGCUAGCUGCUAGCUGCUUGUUUUUUACUUGAAAAAGUUUAAUCGUGAACUCAAACGUGGACGUUUAAUCGUCAGAGACAGUUAUUAACACCAGCCUCUACUAUAACUGAGGACUGGGAGAGCUGGGGACAGUUUUUGAGGACAUUUUGCUAAUUAGCCUGUUGCUAUUGCUGUGACGAGGGACCCUGCUGCCGAACUUGGGUGUACACACCUGUUGGUGUUGCCUCAUCUUUAACGUAAACUCUUCAGACCUGCUUUGGAUCUGCAUCUUGGAUUUUUCCUGAUCCAAGUGUUGAUCAGAGGAAGAAGAAGAAGAAGAAGAAGGUCAAAUGGCAGCAGGAACACUGGUGUUCUGUUUUCUGAUCAUCUGUUCUCUGGUCGGCUCCUCUAGAGCUCAGGAAAUCAUCCAAGCUGUUAUUGGACAGGAUGUCAUUCUACCAUGUAAAGCUCCCAACAAGUACAACAUCAACAACACAGCUGUAGAAUGGAGCAGACCUGGACUGGAUCCAGAUCAUGUUCUUGUCUACCGAGAUGGACGCUUUGAUCCAAUCAACCAGCAUCCAUCUUAUCAGAACCGGGUGGAUCUGCAGGACAAAGAGAUGAAGGAUGGAGACUUUUAUCUGAUUCUGAAGAAAGUGACGAUGGAGGACACUGGAACAUACAUGUGUCAUGUUUUUGAGAAAGGAAAGAAGAAACCCUUCAGCAGCACCUACGUGGAAAUUUAUGUAUCAGGAAAGAAGGGUGGAAACACUGGAGAUGGAGGAAACAAGACUGGAGUCAUUGUAGGAUCAGUAGGGGGUGUGAUACUUCUUCUUCUUGCUGUGUUGGCUUCUCUUUUUUUUCUGAUGUAUAAAAGACACAUGAGGCAGAAUCCAAACCUCCCAGUUCCUCCUGAUGAAGCAGCAGCUGAACAGAUGUUAUGAAACAAAGACAUGAAAGUUUUUGUGAACAGCAUCAGAACAAACCAGAGCUUGUGUAACUUUGAUGGAAGCAGCAGCAGCAGAACAAAGAGAAUCCAGGUGUGGACCAACCAUGUGGUCUCUCCUUUAACUGCCACCUUAUGGUGGUGGAGGGUUUGUGAGCUCAGAGGAUGCUGGGAGCUCUGCUGUCUGGAGUUCAGCUCCUGCUAGGGUUUCUAUUGGCAGACUGGUCCAGAAACAUCAAGUCCUCCCAACAUCUCCAUCAUCUAGAUUGAUCCUGUGGAUUGUUGCUGCUGCUGUUGGUCUUCAUCAACUUUUCUGUUGCUUUGUCUGGAAAUAAAUGUGUUCCAAAGCUCUGCAUGUUAGAACCUGAUGAAAUGUUGUGGAUGUAAAGUGUUCUGUCAGAUGAGAUCAGAAGCAGAUAGAAAAGUUCUGAUUGUCCAGAAUGAAGCAGAACUGAUGAACAACUUUAGACUGAACUGGUUUCAAUGUUUUAUCUGCUAGCAGCUCUGAUGAUGCUCUGAACUUUUAACAUGGUAAAGGUGCAGAUAAUAGAAUAUAUUUUUGACACUUUUUUAACUGCUCAGGGUUUGUGACUUUUAUUUUCAUCCUAUAUUAUAUCUUUUUCUUUUAAUCUGUACAAAAACUUUGCACUCUGUUGCAGAAUGUAAACUGAUGAUAAAAUUCUUCAAAAAGUUCUUGUUUUAAUGUGUGUUUUAAGGUUUUAUCAGUUAGCAGCUCUGCUGAUGUUCUUACCUUUUAAUGUGGUAAAGGUGCAGAUAAUCUCUCCCUCUCCUGCUCAGUGUGCCACAUGUUUAGUUAUUCCUCUGCCUCCUUUAGUGAUAACGAUAUGUGUAAUAAGUGCAGCCUUUUUGUAGUUCUGGAGGCGAGGCUCUCUGAAUUGGAAUCACGGCUCCGCACCAUGGAAAAUAACCCGCUAGCAGCUAGCCAGGCCCCCUUAGCCGGUGCGGACCGCAAUAGCUUAGCUAGUGUAGCAUCUGUUAGCCGUCCCUUAGCAGCGCCCGAACAGCCGGGUGGAUGGGUGACAGUUCGUAGGAAAAACAGUCCUAAACUCAAGCCUGCUGUCCCGGCUCAGGCAGAAAAACUACAAGUUACUACAAGAAUAGUAACUCAUUGCCGUCAUCUUUUCACCAUAGUACACAACUGACCAGCUCUACAUUGUACAAUACACCCAUCCUCCGAGCACGGCUUCAGUAACUACUACGUCACCUUCCCUCUCCCUCCCUCUCAACCCCAACCCCUCCCACAGAGUGAAAACACUAACAGUACAUCCACACACUGGCAGAAAAAUUAGUUCAGGCUUUUGUUACUUCCAGGCUUGACUAUUGCAAUUCCUUAUUAUCGGGUUGUCCAAAUAGCUCUCUUAAACAUCUACAGUUGAUCCAAAACGCUGCUGCGAGAGUACUGACAGGAGUUAGCAAAAGAGAUCAUAUUUCCCCUAUACUUGCUUCUCUUCACUGGCUUCCUGUUAAAUCCAGAAUAGAAUUUAAAAUCCUUCUUCUGACAUAUAAAGCUCUGAAUAACCAAUCUCCAUCAUAUCUUAAAGAUCUGAUAGUACCUUAUUAUCCUAGUAGAACUCUUGGCUCUCAAACUGCAGGCUUACUUGUUGUUCCUAGAAUCUCUAAAAGUAGAAUGGGAGGCAGAGCCUUCAGUUAUCAGGCGCCUCUCCUGUGGAACCUGCUCCCAGUUUGGGUUCUGGAGGCAGACACCCUCUCUAUUUUUAAGACCAGGCUUAAAACGUUCCUUUUUGACAAAUCUUAUAGUUGGGGCUGACUGGGUGACCCACAGGGGUUCGGCUUGUGUCUUCAUUGCACAGCUGACUCCCUCUUGGACGUCCCUUCGUUCUGCCUCUAGUCAUGCUGCUAUAGGCCUAUAGGCUGCUGGGGGACUUUUCUUGACGCACUGAGCCCUUCUCUAUCUACCUUUACAUUUAAUAUGUAUACCGUUAUUGCAGUACAUUCACUCUGUUUCCCCCUGUGCUAUUUCUCCGAGUGUCCCUGGUCCCAGAGCUGGAUGCUUCAGAUCUGUGGUUGAUGUUCCACCAGCUGGUCCAGUCUCCAUCAUGUCCACUGUGGGAUGCUGCUGCUGACCUUCCUCCAGCCCUCUGCUUCCAACUCCCUUUUUCCACCAGUCAACUCUGCAUUGCCUUCACUAUACUGUUAUGCUAACUUACAUACUGUUUGAAUUUUACUGCUAGCUAUAUAUGGAGUAUGUUUAAUGUCAGAGCCGUACAUCAUAAGAGUAAACUAUGAGUCAGUUUUCAAUGUUAGCUUAUACUUUGUCUGUGUCACAUAUCCUGUCAUACAUGUAUCCAAAUGUGUGUUGUGUUUUCCUUGCUUUCCCACCCCUCCCUCUUCUCCCAUCCCUCCCCCUUGCCCUCCUCUGUCCUUCUCAACCCCCCCGGCCAGCAGGCAGAUGGGUCCCCCCUAUAUAGAGCCGGGUUCUGCUCGAGGUUUCUUCCCUGUUAAAAGGGUGUUUUCUUGCCACUGUCUCCUUUGGGCUGCUCUGGGGGUUAGGCAUAUGGGUUCUGUAAAGCGUCUUGAGACGAUUUGACUGUAAUUGAUGCUAUAUAGUGUAGUCAACAUCCAGCUUCAAGAGGCCCCAGACAUUCCACAGGAACAUCAUCUCACAGGAAAAACAAAAUUCUCUCCUCUCAGAAAGCUUAAACAAACAAACUAAGAGCCCCAAAGUGGAUUUUUAUGGCUUCAGAGACAUCUGCACCUUUCACCAAAAGCCUCGUAAAAUUCAUUUACGGUGACCUGUGAUCUGACUAGGAGAAAACCCCCCUUUUUCAGACUCUCACAUGGAUUGUUGUAUUUGCAUGUUUUCUUGUAUUCCUACCUUCACAGAAGACACUAAGACCCCUGGCAGAGAAGUGGAAGGGGACACAAAUGUUUCACACCUUCCUAAAUUUGCAUCUAAAGGACUGUUUAUUCCCUUUUGGUUCCUAUCCUUUGAUUAACUGAACUCAUCUUCACAGACGCCAUGCAGUCUCCCUCCCUCACGAUCAGAUACUGAGAGUCAUAAAUAUCUAAGGACCUUUCCGUCACCCCGGGAGGGCUGCAGAAAGACACUCAGUCUGUUUGAUGCCAAUAAGGACUCUCUUUCUAAAAAUUGUGCUUCUGAAAUUUUGUUUGUGAUUUUGAAGAUAUCAAAGUUGAAAUAAUAAUUUGUUAUACAUGUUAGUCCAA